This 428-nucleotide ribosomal RNA is filed under the name Clostridioides difficile. Its description in RNAcentral is "bacterial LSU rRNA". It matches the Rfam family "Bacterial large subunit ribosomal RNA", at positions 2495 to 2925 of the family's 2925-position model. The record is from RNAcentral. Lineage: Bacteria; Bacillati; Bacillota; Clostridia; Peptostreptococcales; Peptostreptococcaceae.
AGAGUCCACAUCGACGGGGAGGUUUGGCACCUCGAUGUCGGCUCAUCACAUCCUGGGGCUGUAGUAGGUCCCAAGGGUUGGGCUGUUCGCCCAUUAAAGUGGUACGCGAGCUGGGUUCAGAACGUCGUGAGACAGUUCGGUCCCUAUCCGUCGCAGGCGUAGGAAAUUUGAGAAGACCUGUCCUUAGUACGAGAGGACCGGGAUGGACGUACCUCUGGUGUACCAGUUGUCCUGCCAAGGGCAUGGCUGGGUAGCUAUGUACGGAAUGGAUAAGCGCUGAAAGCAUCUAAGCGCGAAGCCAACUUCAAGAUAAGAUUUCCCACCGCAAGGGUAAGACCCCAGAAAGACUAUCUGGUUGAUAGGUCGAAGGUGUAAGUGCAGCAAUGUAUUUAGCUUAUCGAUACUAAUAGGUCGAGGACUUGACCAAU